ACUUAAAUAGUUUAUACAAAAUAUUAAUUUGUGGGAUUAAAGAAGUAAGAUUUACUUUAGGUA
This 63-nucleotide transfer RNA is filed under the name Coccotorus chaoi. RNAcentral describes it as "tRNA-His". The record is from RNAcentral. Lineage: Eukaryota; Metazoa; Arthropoda; Insecta; Coleoptera; Curculionidae.